Pipistrellus kuhlii (Kuhl's pipistrelle) is the source of this 194-nucleotide small nuclear RNA. RefSeq annotates it as U2 spliceosomal RNA. NCBI's taxonomy places the organism in Eukaryota, Metazoa, Chordata, Mammalia, Chiroptera, Vespertilionidae. The transcript has a single exon. The record is from RefSeq and is a predicted model, not a curated record.
AUCACUUCUCAGCCUUUUGGCUAAGAUCAAGUGUAGUAAAAGAUCUUUUCAGAUAAUACUUAUGGAAGCAGUCUGCCCAUGAAUCAGACCUGCCACUGCAUGCUGUUUGUUUUCUUGAGAGAACUUAAUCAAAAUAGGAAAACAUCCUGAUUUCUUGUUGGUUCUCUCCAAGUUCCAAUUGGGAGAAUCUGCUU